UCGAGAAUUUUUCUCAAUGGGGGAAACCCUGAAGGAGCGACGCCGCGUGGAGGAUGAAGGUCUUCGGAUUGUAAACUCCUGUCAUUGGGGAACAAAGCCGCCGGUUAACUGCCGGUUGGACUGAUAGUACCCGAAGAGGAAGAGACGGCUAACUCUGUGCCAGCAGCCGCGGUAAUACAGAGGUCUCAAGCGUUGUUCGGAUUCAUUGGGCGUAAAGGGUGCGUAGGCGGCGGGGCAAGUCAGGUGUGAAAUCCCGGAGCUCAACUCCGGAACUGCAUUUGAUACUGCCUCGCUAGAGUACUGGAGAGGAGACUGGAAUUUACGGUGUAGCAGUGAAAUGCGUAGAGAUCGUAAGGAAGACCAGUGGCGAAGGCGAGUCUCUGGACAGUUACUGACGCUGAGGCACGAAGGCCAGGGGAGCAAACGG
This 427-nucleotide ribosomal RNA is filed under the name uncultured bacterium. Its description in RNAcentral is "bacterial SSU rRNA". It matches the Rfam family "Bacterial small subunit ribosomal RNA", at positions 355 to 775 of the family's 1533-position model. The record is from RNAcentral.